GGUUGAUUGAUGUAGUGGUUAUCAUUCCAGAUUUUGAUUCUGGCAACCCCGGUUCGAAUCCGGGAUCGACCU
RNAcentral lists this transfer RNA (72 nucleotides) under Mycosphaerella sp. Ston1. RNAcentral describes it as "tRNA-Gln (TTG) (tRNA-Gln-TTG-1-1)". It matches the Rfam family "tRNA". From Rfam's summary of the family: Transfer RNA (tRNA) molecules are approximately 80 nucleotides in length. Their secondary structure includes four short double-helical elements and three loops (D, anti-codon, and T loops). The record is from RNAcentral. Lineage: Eukaryota; Fungi; Ascomycota; Dothideomycetes; Mycosphaerellales; Mycosphaerellaceae.